AUUGAACGCUGGCGGCAGGCCUAACACAUGCACGUCGAGCGGAGCGACGGACGGGGGUGUAAAGCCUAGGAAUCUGCCUGGUAGUGGGGGAUAACGUCCGGGAACGAGAGCUAAUACCGCAUACGAUAGGAUGAGCCUAGGUGGGAUUAGCUAGUUGGUGGGGUAAAGGCCUACCAAGGCGACGAUCCGUAACUGGGCGGAGAGGAUGAUCAGCCACACUGGAACUGAGACCCGGUCCAGACUCCUACGGGAGGCAGCAGUGGGGAAUAUUGGACAAUGGGCGAAAGCCUGAUCCAGCCAUGCCGCGUGUGUGAAGAAGGUCUUCGGAUUGUAAAGCACUUUAAGUUGGGAGGCGUUACCAACAGAAUAAGCACCGGCUAACUUCGUGCCAGCAGCCGCGGUAAUAC
This 407-nucleotide ribosomal RNA is filed under the name uncultured bacterium. RNAcentral's name for it is "partial 16S ribosomal RNA". It matches the Rfam family "Bacterial small subunit ribosomal RNA", at positions 30 to 526 of the family's 1533-position model. The record is from RNAcentral.